GCCGGGAUGGCGGAAGUGGUAGACGCGCAUGGUUGAGGGCCAUGUGGACAUCAAGUCCAUGGGGGUUCAAUUCCCCCUCCCGGCACCA
RNAcentral lists this transfer RNA (88 nucleotides) under Candidatus Aerophobota bacterium. RNAcentral describes it as "Candidatus Aerophobetes bacterium tRNA-Leu". It matches the Rfam family "tRNA". Rfam says of the family: Transfer RNA (tRNA) molecules are approximately 80 nucleotides in length. Their secondary structure includes four short double-helical elements and three loops (D, anti-codon, and T loops). Further hydrogen bonds mediate the characteristic L-shaped molecular structure. tRNAs have two regions of fundamental functional importance: the anti-codon, which is responsible for specific mRNA codon recognition, and the 3' end, to which the tRNAs corresponding amino acid is attached (by aminoacyl-tRNA synthetases). tRNAs cope with the degeneracy of the genetic code in two manners: having more than one tRNA (with a specific anti-codon) for a particular amino acid; and 'wobble' base-pairing, i.e. permitting non-standard base-pairing at the 3rd anti-codon position. The record is from RNAcentral. Lineage: Bacteria; Candidatus Aerophobota.